RNAcentral lists this non-coding RNA (73 nucleotides) under unclassified sequences. RNAcentral describes it as "RAGATH-18 RNA". It matches the Rfam family "RAGATH-18 RNA". From Rfam's summary of the family: Actinobacteria, Firmicutes, Fusobacteria, Thermotogae (1 example). Nearby to self-cleaving ribozyme genes The record is from Rfam by way of RNAcentral.
ACUGUGGAGAGUACAGGAACUUGUUAGUAGUGUCUGGGCAAUCAGCACAAAAGCAUACUCGUAGAAGCAGUAA